CCUACGGGUGGCAGCAGUGGGGAAUAUUGGUCAAUGGAGGAAACUCUGAACCAGCAACGCCGCGUGAAUGAUGAAGGUCUUCGGAUUGUAAAGUUCUUUUCUCAGGGAAGAAGAACGUGACGGUACCUUAGGAAUAAGCCUCGGCUAACUACGUGCCAGCAGCCGCGGUAAUACGUAGGAGGCGAGCGUUAUCCGGAAUGACUGGGCGUAAAGGUGGCGUAGGUGGUUUGACAAGUUGGUAGCGUAACUCCGAGGCUCAACCUCGGCACUACUACCAAAACUGUCGGACUUGAGUGCAGGAGGGGUAAGUGGAAUUGCUAGUGUAGCGGUGGAAUGCGCAGAUAGUAGGAGGAACACCGGUGGCGAAGGCGAAUUGCUGGACUGUAACUGACACUGAGGCACGAAAGCGUGGGGAGCAAACAGGAUUAGAGACCCUAGUAGUC
Molecule: ribosomal RNA, 443 nt
Filed under: uncultured bacterium
Lineage: Bacteria
Description: partial 16S ribosomal RNA
Rfam family: Bacterial small subunit ribosomal RNA
Source: RNAcentral